CUUCAGAGGGAGCUCAUCGUGACAUGUGGAGUUGCUGCUGUGCUGAUAAGAUAAAGAUCACUGUUGCUUGUGCAGUUAAACCUCUUCCCCACAGAACAUAGAUAUAAACAUAUUGGUCAGUACAUAGAGGGGAGUGGAAACAGAGUGGCAUGCUUUAUGGGCCUCAGAUUGUCAGGAUGAUUUCAGGUGAAAGUUAAAGCUGGGAAAGUAAUUGAGUUGUGGAGAGAAGCUGAUUCUUAUAUUUAAUCCCAUUUUAUUUUGUAUAAUUUUCUUUUAAUUUAAUUUUUCAAAAUUAAUGAUGUGUCAAUAGGCUUGUGAACAAAAACAAAUUAUAUACCAAAUUUUGUCUGCUCAAAUACAAAUACAGUCUGCCUCAAACAUCCACUACAAAGUGGAAGCUGCCUAUCCCAGCAUCUUCGGGCGAAGGCAGGGGACACCCUGGACAAGUCGCCAGUUCAUCGCAGGACUGACAUAUAGAGACGAACAACCAUCCACGCUCACAUUCAUACCUACGGGCAGUUUCAAAGUGGCCAAUUAACCCAACAUCACUUCUGCAUGUUUUUGGGGUGUGGGAGGAAACCGGAGUACCUGCAGUAAACCCACGCAGGCACAGGGAGAACAUGCAAACUCCACACAGAAACGCCCUGAGCCGGAUUCAAACACAGGACCUUCUUGCUGUGAGGUGACAGUGCUAACCACUGCACCACUGUGCCGCCCACUGACACAACAUACAUCAUGUAAAUAUUUUUGCAUGUAUGCCCGAUAAUGCAUCUGUUUUAUCUUGACUCUGUUCUGCCAGCUGCCCUGUUAGUGUAUUUGGUCCCCCCUAAGUGUGCCACAGGUUUCAAUAUAAGAGUCAGUAAUCUUGAAAUGCUUUAGGUAAAGUGAUGCUUUAGUAUUAUUUUCAUUAUAUCCAAUGUAGAUGUUGACUUUUGUUUUAUUUGAUGUGUCCACUUAACAUUUUUAAAGUUUACUGAGAAGCUAAACUAACCUGUGCUCGAUAUCCUGGCUCCACUUUGAAAGCAAAACUGCGGUCUUGCUGAGGCAAAAGAGAGCUUCACUCUCAAGUAAACACCACAGUGUAACUUAAUUUUCUAAGACUGCGCUGUUUUACCCAAAAUCUUACGACACAGGAGCUUUCCCCAAACAUGUCAGCUAUAUCCUUUUCUGUCUGGUGACUUCUGUGGAAGUGUGUCCUCUUUACCAGGAAUGGAGAAUUCUGUACUCUUGAAUGUAUUUGGCACAUUUUGAAAGUCACACACGUUGGUGCACAAUAACCCAAAUUUGACAAGCAAAAUAACAAACUAAUGCCUCAGGAUAUUUUAGAGCUGUGAAUAAGCUAUGCAGCCCAAUGUAGCGUGACAGCAUUCGUAAGUACAAGGAAGAUGGAAAUUAUUACAAUUGUUUUUAUAUAAUGACACUAGUGUCUAUUUGCGGUUGGUUAAAAACAACAGGAAGUAUAUGUGGUGGAAACGUUGAGCCACAGACACAAAGAGAAGCUGUUAAGACCAGGACCUGUGUAGCUGAAAGUAAUGAACUUAUUCUUUGUAUAAAUAAAUCAUUUGCAAAGUUUGACCAUUCAAUGCCAUUGACAAUGAAAAGGUAAUGACCUAGUUUCCAGUGUCACUCGACAACCAUCUUGUACAUGCAGCUUCUCUGGUCUCUGGUGGGAGUAAAUAUUUACUGAGGCCAAAAAUAACAAAGAGAUUUAUGGCCACAGGUGAUGAAAAGAAAAGUGUAAGUUCAAAAACUGGACAAAUAUGUUUCUCAGGUGACAGCAAACACUGAAAAGGGGAGCACAACCAUCAACUAAGAAUAACCAGUUUUGCUACCUGUAUUCGCAGCUCAUCACCUCAGAUGUCGCCAGUGAGAUCGAUGGAGGGAGACGGUAACUUUGAAAUGUCAAUUAACGCCCAAACCCACUUAAAACAAAACCUAUUGAUUUCUUCAUGGACACAGGCUACUAAUUUUUACCUGGACAUGUUAGCCCUCUGACAGCCAAAACAGCAAACAGCAUUGAGAUCAGAAGUUGUUGAGGGCAUUCGUCUCCAAAUUUUGUCACAUGCUCUCAUUUUCACAUCUCAAUGUGUCAUUCACGGCCAAGAUCAUUAAACAGUAUAGGUUUUUGUUUGUUUUCCAUUUCAGGGUGGACAACGAUAAACAUUUUCCAAAGGUUAACUUUGCCUUGGGUGUUCAAUUCUUCACGUCUGUAUGAGUCGGAUUCUGAGAAGCGAGAGAGAAACAGGUUUGGUUAAGACUUUGUUAACUUUCCUAGAUCAAAUAAAGAGCAGAGCAAAGUUCAAAGAGUCAGAUGAUUUUGGUCCUGAGCAUGUGACUUGUAUCCCCCAAAAAAUAAUAGCAGCAUGUUGUGUGAGGAGGUCAUGAAAACUUUGAUUAGAGCCAGUCACAGCUUCGUUUUAUAGCUGGCAAUGUGGCAAUCAGAGCAGAUGUUUAAUCUGCUAACAAAGGUCAUUUUAAAUAUUCAUUUCUUUUAUUUACCUACAUGACUGCAUCUGUACGUCUGUCUCUGCGAUUAUUUACUUACCUUCCCUGAAUGGGGAGGGGGCUUGGUGUUUAAAUGGAGCUGUCCUGUUUUUUGAAGAAGACUUAAAGGUUGGAGUAUAAAAGGCAGCAUUUGAAGGAGUUUACGCUCAUUCUCCUGGAACACGGCUAAAUAAGGGUUUUUGUUGUCUCUGUCCGUGAUGCAACUUUAUGGAGCUCUGGUCCUGUUAGUCACUCUGUCUACAGGUAGGAUUGAUUCAUUCAUGCUUAACGUAUUUUGGGUGAACAUUACAACAUAAAAAUUAAAGUUGGUAUCGUACAGAAAUUUAAAGGACUGUGAUUUUGUUUCUCUUUCUUUUCUUUUAUUGUUUUACGUGAAUUAAUUUCUCUGACUGAAAGCUCUUUCUUGUUGUGUGGUGACCGGUAAAAUAUCCUAAAACUUAACACCUUAAAAAGGAUUCUUGCGCAUAUAACAGUGCUCUGAAUUAUUGUAUAGCAUGGGGGCUGAAGUGCUUCACCUGUGGACCCACCACUCCAGUAUGCUCAGUGGCUUUGGAUUGUCCUCCAGGAACUGACCGUUGUUUCUCCAACAAUGUGUUUGGUAUGAUUUUCUUCCACUUCAGGAAUCAUUUGGUCUUACAUGAAGCAGUGGAGAUCAUAUUGUAAAUACUGCACUAAAGGACUUUUUUUUUUUAAUUAUUAUUACUAUUUCAUGCCUUGCAGGUGUGGUCACCAAAGGCUGCAUAUUCAAGGAUGGUUGUAUCACCCCUUUAACAUGCUGUGAGGGAGACAUGUGCAACAGUGCCACACCCUCCGGUCCUGACCUCUUGCCGCCUGGUCUCGGCUCCCUUUUCCCCUUCGGUUCUGGUGUCAGCAUCGUCCCGUCUUGCUCCCUUAUCCUCCUCCUGCUGGCAUCCACAGCCAUUGUCAUCAUUUUCCUCUGAAGCUCUGAACAUUCAACAACAUAAAAAAUGUUUUAUCUUGAUGCUUUCCUGUUUUCUGGUCCUGAUUGUAGAGUGCAAAAAGGAAAAAUAAAAUCUCCAAAGCUGCAAGUAACCACCAGAGAUGGCCACUUUCAUUCUGAAGGAAAAACAGCAUAAGAAGCUAUUUUUACAAUCAAGUGGCAAUGAGGAAGUUCAAGGAGCCAAAUCACAGAUUUCAGACUUCAUUAUUUCUUGACUUGAAAGUGCAGCACUUGCUCUCUCUGGUUAAGAAUCCUUCAAGGGCCAGUGUGAAGAAAUGGGAGUGUUUAGUGAUAUUUUACAGUCAGAUUCUAGGUUAAAACAGUGGUCUAAAAUAUUGACAAUUCGUCAUUCUUAUUUUACAACUUAUAUUAAAUGUCACAAUUCCCUUUAAACACACAGUAGAUGUCUUCCUGGAAGAGGCCUGUUCAUCAUCUUUUACCUAACAGAAAGUACAAUGAAAAUGUAAUGUAGAGAUGUCGGGAAUUAUGUUUAAUAGGUCUGGAAAUUUUCUGAUGAUGGUAACCAUUGCUCUUCAGUAAUGACCUAUUAAACAUAAUUCCCGAAAAGUAAAGUACAAAAUCCGGACAGUAUUAUGAAGAACGGGAGUUUGUAAAACAGCACAAAGCAUAAAAUUUUACAUUACCUUUCAAAAAAACGAGUCGCGAGCUUGUUCAUUUCGUGAAAAAUUAAUGGCCGUCCA
This 4167-nucleotide long non-coding RNA is filed under the name Xyrichtys novacula (pearly razorfish). The record is from RNAcentral. Lineage: Eukaryota; Metazoa; Chordata; Actinopteri; Labriformes; Labridae.